Molecule: ribosomal RNA, 253 nt
Filed under: uncultured bacterium
Lineage: Bacteria
Description: partial 16S ribosomal RNA
Rfam family: Bacterial small subunit ribosomal RNA
Source: RNAcentral
UACGUAGGGUGCAAGCGUUAGUCGGAAUUACUGGGCGUAAAGCGUGCGCAGGCGGUUAUGCAAGACAGAUGUGAAAUCCCCGGGCUCAACCUGGGAACUGCAUUUGUGACUGUAUAGCUAGAGUACGGUAGAGGGGGAUGGAAUUCCGCGUGUAGCAGUGAAAUGCGUAGAUAUGCGGAGGAACACCGAUGGCGAAGGCAAUCCCCUGGACCUGUACUGACGCUCAUGCACGAAAGCGUGGGGAGCAAACAGG